UUAGACGUUGCUUGGUGUGAGCCAGGUUUUGUGUGGAAAGAGGACAGGUCAUAAGCAGAAGCCUGAGCCCUGGUCCGAGCCAGCAACCAACCAACCCAGAGCCAUCUUUUAUGCUUCCAGAUUCUGUUGCCAAAAACUUACCCAUGGACAUUGAGGGUGAUGCACUUCUGCUCCGAGACGUCUGUGGCCUCAGCUGGAGGGAUGGAAAGGAUGUGGAGCCUCUUCACUCCUGGCCUGGGCUUGGACCUGCUGUGCAGCCUCUCAGGGGCACCAGGGCCCCCGUGUGUCACAGCGGCCUCGGAUUUCUUGGCAUCUUCUCCCUUAUCCAGAAGUGAGGGUGAACGCCGAGUUAUUCACAGGAGUCAAGAGACCACACACAGCCCAAAGUGACAUUUGUUUCCCUGAAAUGAUUUGUGUGUGUUCACCUUAAAAUGCAACUCGGUAAAACAGGUGUGUUUUGAGGAAUGACUUUAAAUUACCCAGGUAAAAAUGUGACAGUUAAAUUUCAUCCAGUCUGUGCAGGUGUCCAUAAUCCCUUCUGUGGUUGCGUGUGAGUUUAUGUGACUUGUGGUUAUUUUUGAAGAAAGAAAAUCUGUUGUUGCUGAGGACUUCAGAUGGUGCGCUGGGAUUGUGUGGGGCGGACAUCGGGGGCUUCAGUGUGUGGCUUCCUUGAAGAGGUUCAAAUUAAGGCUGAGCGUCCCUACUCCAAAAUGCUCUGAAACAAACAUUCCGAGCUCCCUCAUGACACUCGAAGGAAAUGCUCUUCGGAGCACUUUGGAUUUCAGGCUGGGGAUGCUCAACCAGAAAGUGAAAUAUUGCAAGACCCUUCUUGUCCCAGGAGCUUGGAUGAGGACAUGUGGCCUGUGCCGGGCAUCCCUGGCGUGCGUGGCAGCCUGGGCUCCCUGGACUGGUUUUGUAGGAGCCACAGAAGGGAAGAGGCUCAAAGUGGCCAUGCCUGACUCCUGAGAAGGGCGGACCAGAGGGGGUUGGGCACGGAGGGCAGCAGCGGAGUCCCCAGCGUCUGGAGCUCCUGUCCCUGUUGGAGCUGAGAGCCUCCUUUAGUUGUGGCCUCUGCCCUGUCAGCAGCCACUGAGGCCUGGAGGGGAGCUGGGGGCUGAGGGAGGAGGAGGGAUGAUAGGCCUGCUUCUGGAGAGGGCCGGCAUCAGCCUGUGCUAGCCUCGUGUGCUACUCCUGCAUCCAGGGUGCACGGAUUCCUCGUGGCGCAGCAGUUCCCGGGGUGCACAGCGCUCUUGUGUGCAGUAACAGCUUUGUCUCCAACCCUUGGAGGCAAGUUACCUUUUAUUCCCCCACAGUGAAAAGAGGUAGAAAAUCUUAUAGAAAUGCAUUUGCUGGAAUGUCUAUUUUCCGAUAAAACAUCGUACGCUUAGGCUAAAUCUGAAAGUGUCUCCUAGUGAGUCUCGUGUGUAGAGUAAGAACAGUUCACGCAUAUCUUAAAGCAGGUAGAUCUAGGAACACAGAGCAUCCCGGUGCUAGGAUGGAGUUUUCCACUAACUCUGGGAAUGGAAUCUGUAGAGCCUCGGGUGCCUUUGCACCAUGAGGUUAGCCAGGUUAGCGAGGGUGCACUCACAGCCCUGCCUGUGCCGCAUCCCUUCUGCUAGAGCGUCUGCUGGGGCCUGCGUGAGUCGCCUGAGCAUUGCUGUUACCUUUUUCACUUGAGCCUUUUUACCGAAUACUAGGAUAAACUUGACCUCACAUACUUUGUGGGGAGAGAGAGAAGUAUAUCUGGGACCUCUUUAAUUAUAUGUUGGAAAAUAGAUUUGGGCAAAAUAUUUCUGCGUAUGCGUGCUUGGUGGGCAUGGGGUUCCCUGCCGCACCCUGAGGCACGUUCGCACAUUUUGAUUUAAUCUUGAGCCUAUGGCAACAAAACUGUAGAAGUUGGCUAUGACUUACUUUCUAAAAUCUAGAAAUAAACAUACACUUGGAA
Macaca mulatta (Rhesus monkey) is the source of this 1945-nucleotide non-coding RNA. The record is from RefSeq and is a predicted model, not a curated record. NCBI's taxonomy places the organism in Eukaryota, Metazoa, Chordata, Mammalia, Primates, Cercopithecidae.